GUAGCUGGUCUGAGAGGAUGAUCAGCCACACUGGGACUGAGACACGGCCCAGACUCCUACGGGAGGCAGCAGUGGGGAAUAUUGGACAAUGGGCGCAAGCCUGAUCCAGCAAUGCCGCGUGGAUGAAGAAGGUCUUCGGAUUGUAAAGUCCUUUCGGCGGGGACGAUGAUGACGGUACCCGCAGAAGAAGCCCCGGCUAACUUCGUGCCAGCAGCCGCGGUAAUACGAAGGGGGCUAGCGUUGCUCGGAAUGACUGGGCGUAAAGGGCGCGUAGGCGGAUUGCUUAGUCAGGCGUGAAAGUCCUGGGCUCAACCUGGGGAUUGCGCUUGAUACGGGUGGUCUAGAGUUGGAAAGAGGGUCGUGGAAUUCCCAGUGUAGAGGUGAAAUUCGUAGAUAUUGGGAAGAACACCGGUGGCGAAGGCGGCGACCUGGUUCUUGACUGACGCUGAGGCGCGAAAGCGUGGGGAGCAAACAGGAUUAGAUACCCAGGUAGUCCACGCCGUAAACGAUGG
This 512-nucleotide ribosomal RNA is filed under the name uncultured bacterium. Its description in RNAcentral is "bacterial SSU rRNA". It matches the Rfam family "Bacterial small subunit ribosomal RNA", at positions 283 to 812 of the family's 1533-position model. The record is from RNAcentral.